AUACGGAGGGAGCAAGCGUUAUUCGGAAUCACUGGGCGUAAAGGACGCGUAGGCGGGUUUGUAAGUCAGGUGUGAAAUCCUACAGCUCAACUGUAGAACUGCACUUGAAGCUACAGACCUAGAGUAUGGAAGGGGCAGAUGGAAUUAGUGGUGUAGGGGUAAAAUCCGUAGAUAUCACUAGGAAUACCGAAAGCGAAGGCGAUCUGCUGGGACAUUACUGACGCUGAGGCGUGAAAGCGUGGGGAGCAAACAGGAUUAGAUACCCUAGUAGUCC
This 274-nucleotide ribosomal RNA is filed under the name uncultured bacterium. RNAcentral's name for it is "partial 16S ribosomal RNA". It matches the Rfam family "Bacterial small subunit ribosomal RNA", at positions 523 to 796 of the family's 1533-position model. The record is from RNAcentral.